UCUCCCACCCUACCCGAUCCAUACUUGCAUUUCUCCAUCUCUCUCUGCUCUGCUAGGGCCGAACGGCUGCCCUCCGAUGGUCGCCGGCGUGCAGACACCCGAUCAGGAGUACCAGACGCCGCUGAAACUCCAGCCUCGCGAGCCCUUCGUUGUCGUUCUCCGCCACGAGCAGAAGCCUCCAACUGGUGGAGCGGUGGCCUCGCAGGGGUCGCGACGGUGGGGGCAUUGAACAAUCAGAGGUAUGCCAUCGCAGCUGGUGGAGAGGUGGCCUCGCAGGGGUCGCGACGGUGGUCUCUGCUCUAAGUUUCGUAUGAAGUUGUUUGGAGGCUUUGAUGUAUUCCAAUUAUUUGGCUUGGUGUAUUUUGAGAUUUGGGAUUCGUUGGCUUGGUGGCUGUGUGAUUUGGGAUUUAAAUUUUUGCUUGUUUAUCUUAAAAUUUUCUUGUAACUCUAGGAUAUUUUCUAGUUAGUUUAUGAUUUUAUCUUUUGGAUGUUUUUUGUCUUGAGCUGGAAAGUAGUGUAAGGAAACCAGGGCAUAUGGAUCUCUUAAACCAAUGGUUGAUGCUCUUCAAGUGUUUGAGAAAUUGAUGCAAAGAAACUACAGAAUAUGAUUUAAUGAAACUAUGAGUGAUUCUAGUUUUUGUGUGCUCAAAUUACUACUGCCUUUUGUUAUUAUUAUUGUUAGAUGAUUAAAUAUAAUAUAUAUUUAUAAUUAUAUAACUCUUUCGUGGCCUCUCUUUAUUAUAUUGAGCUUUUUCUUAGUAUAUAACAUGGUAGCUACUUGUGUGUAUAUACUGUAUAUAUAUGCUAUACUAUACAUAUGCAGGAGUGCUUAAAUGGAGA
Humulus lupulus (European hop) is the source of this 840-nucleotide long non-coding RNA. RefSeq lists it as uncharacterized. The record is from RefSeq and is a predicted model, not a curated record. Lineage: Eukaryota; Viridiplantae; Streptophyta; Magnoliopsida; Rosales; Cannabaceae. The transcript has 2 exons.